This is a non-coding RNA of Acanthosepion pharaonis, 113 nucleotides long. NCBI's taxonomy places the organism in Eukaryota, Metazoa, Mollusca, Cephalopoda, Sepiida, Sepiidae. The record is from the annotation of a GenBank genome assembly.
GACAGCCAUAUUACGAAGACACACUGGUUUUCGUACGAUUACCGAAGUUAAGCAAUGUCGAGUCUGGUCAGUACCUAGACGGGUGACAGGUUGUGAAUACCAGGUGCUGUAAG